This 564-nucleotide ribosomal RNA is filed under the name uncultured Glomeromycotina. Its description in RNAcentral is "SSU rRNA". It matches the Rfam family "Eukaryotic small subunit ribosomal RNA", at positions 548 to 1114 of the family's 1831-position model. Lineage: Eukaryota; Fungi; Glomeromycota. The record is from RNAcentral.
UUGGAGGGCAAGUCUGGUGCCAGCAGCCGCGGUAAUUCCAGCUCCAAUAGCGUAUAUUAAAGUUGUUGCAGUUAAAAAGCUCGUAGUUGAAUUUCGGGAUCAGAGUGUCGGUCGUGCCUCGGUACGCACUGGUAUUAUUGGUUCCUACCUUCUGAAGAACCGCGAUGUCAUUAAUUUGGUGUCGUGGGGAAUCAGGACUGUUACUUUGAAAAAAUUAGAGUGUUUAAAGCAGGCCAACGCUUGAAUACAUUAGCAUGGAAUAAUGAAAUAGGACGUUCGAUCCUAUUUUGUUGGUUUCUAGGAUUGACGUAAUGAUUAAUAGGGAUAGUUGGGGGCAUUAGUAUUCAAUUGUCAGAGGUGAAAUUCUUGGAUUUAUUGAAGACUAACUACUGCGAAAGCAUUUGCCAAGGAUGUUUUCAUUAAUCAAGAACGAAAGUUAGGGGAUCGAAGACGAUCAGAUACCGUCGUAGUCUUAACCAUAAACUAUGCCGACUAGGGAUCGGAUGAUGUUAAUUUUUUAAUGACUCAUUCGGCGCCUUACGGGAAACCAAAGUGUUUGGGUUC